This 722-nucleotide ribosomal RNA is filed under the name Salmonella enterica subsp. enterica serovar Thompson. RNAcentral describes it as "partial 23S ribosomal RNA". It matches the Rfam family "Bacterial large subunit ribosomal RNA", at positions 1 to 652 of the family's 2925-position model. RNAcentral also lists the same sequence under 1 other name. The record is from RNAcentral. Lineage: Bacteria; Pseudomonadati; Pseudomonadota; Gammaproteobacteria; Enterobacterales; Enterobacteriaceae.
GGGUUGUGAGGUUAAGCGACUAAGCGUACACGGUGGAUGCCCUGGCAGUCAGAGGCGAUGAAGGGCGUGCUAAUCUGCGAUAAGCGCCGGUAAGGUGAUAUGAACCGUUAUAACCGGCGAUACCCGAAUGGGGAAACCCAGUGUGACUCGUCACACUAUCAUUAACUGAAUCCAUAGGUUAAUGAGGCGAACCGGGGGAACUGAAACAUCUAAGUACCCCGAGGAAAAGAAAUCAACCGAGAUUCCCCCAGUAGCGGCGAGCGAACGGGGAGGAGCCCAGAGCCUGAAUCAGCAUGUGUGUUAGUGGAAGCGUCUGGAAAGGCGCGCGAUACAGGGUGACAGCCCCGUACACAAAAGCGCAUGUGUUGUGAGCUCGAUGAGUAGGGCGGGACACGUGGUAUCCUGUCUGAAUAUGGGGGGACCAUCCUCCAAGGCUAAAUACUCCUGACUGACCGAUAGUGAACCAGUACCGUGAGGGAAAGGCGAAAAGAACCCCGGCGAGGGGAGUGAAAAAGAACCUGAAACCGUGUACGUACAAGCAGUGGGAGCCCCACCACUAAGCCAGUGGUGAACUCCACAUACGCAUCCUUUGCUGAGGAUACGGUUAACGGAGCGAAAGCGACGUUCAACCGCAAAAGAAGCAGAGGGGGCUUAGUGGUGGGGUGACUGCGUACCUUUUGUAUAAUGGGUCAGCGACUUAUAUUCUGUAGCAAGGUUAACCG